AGUUACAAAGACUCUCUGAAGACUGUGUUACUGACUUCUCAGAGCCUGUAAAGUUCCUGGACAGAGAGAGUGAGCGAGCGAGACAGGACAGUAAUAAAAAAUAAAAAAUAAAUUUAAUUGCCCACUUUGUUUUUAUUAUGAUUUUUUUGCUGUAGUUGCUGUUAGGAAGAAUUAAAUAACUCUGAAAUAACAGAAAUAAUCUGGUAAAGUGAUGUAAUUAAUGUGGCCAUUCAACAAAGUAGUGGAAUAAUAACAUUUAACGAACAGACAGAGUAUCAGAUCAGUAACAGACUAAGAUCAGACACGUAACAGAUAUAAGAUCAGACACGUAACAGAUAUAAGAUCAGACACGUAACAGAUAUAAGAUCAGAUUGGUAACAGAUAUAAGAUCAGACACGUAACAGAUAUAAGAUCAGACACGUAACAGAUAUAAGAUCAGACACGUGACAGAUAGAAGAUCAGACACAAGAUCAGACACGUAACAGAUAUAAGAUCAGAUCAGUGACAGAGAGAAGAUCAGAUCAGUGACAGAGAGAAGAUCAGACACGUAACAGAUAUAAGAUCAGAUCAGUGACAGAGAGAAGAUCAGAUCAGUGACAGAUAGAAGAUCAGACACGUAACAGAUAUAAGAUCAGAUCAGUGACAGAUAGAAGAUCAGAUCAGUGACAGACAGAAGAUCAGACACGUAACAGAUAUAAGAUCAGAUCAGUGACAGAGAGAAGAUCAGAUCAGUGACAGAGAGAAGAUCAGACACGUAACAGAUAUAAGAUCAGAUUGGUAACAGAUAGAAGAUCAGACAGAAGAUCAGACACGUAACAGAUAUAAGAUCAGAUCAGUGACAGAGAGAAGAUCAGAUCAGUGACAGAGAGAAGAUCAGAUCAGUGACAGAGAGAAGAUCAGAUCAGUGACAGACAGAAGAUCAGAUCAGUGACAGAGAGAAGAUCAGACACGUGACAGACAGAAGAUCAGAUCAGUGACAGAGAGAAGAUCAGAUCAGUGACAGAGAGAAGAUCAG
Molecule: long non-coding RNA, 1015 nt
Organism: Cyprinus carpio carpio
Lineage: Eukaryota; Metazoa; Chordata; Actinopteri; Cypriniformes; Cyprinidae
Source: Ensembl